This is a non-coding RNA of Danio rerio (zebrafish), 390 nucleotides long. The record is from the annotation of a RefSeq genome assembly. Lineage: Eukaryota; Metazoa; Chordata; Actinopteri; Cypriniformes; Danionidae.
AUGGAGAUUCUGCCUUUCUGGCUGUACUUACAGAAAGCGUUUUUUUCAAAUGCAAUAAGACCUCUCUCUGCUGAACAGCAGGUUUUAGAAGGAGGAAAGGUGAUCCUUUCAUGUGCCUACAAUGGAAGUAAUAUAAAGAGUUUACAGUGGUACAAACAGCAUCACAGCCCUGCACCCGAAUAUCUCCUGCAAACUUUUGAAAAUGCGGCACCAGAGCAGAAGGACCGUCUACUUGCUAAAGCACAAAAAGACAAAAAACAACUGGAUCUGGAGAUCUCCAAAGCUGAAAUGUCAGACUCUGCUGUGUAUUACUGUGCACUGGUGCCCACAGUGACAGGAAACACUUCGGCACUGUACAAAAACCUGACACUCAGUAUUGUGAUCAUUUGA